RNAcentral lists this ribosomal RNA (504 nucleotides) under uncultured Sphingobacteriales bacterium. Its description in RNAcentral is "bacterial SSU rRNA". It matches the Rfam family "Bacterial small subunit ribosomal RNA", at positions 905 to 1382 of the family's 1533-position model. The record is from RNAcentral. Lineage: Bacteria; Pseudomonadati; Bacteroidota; Sphingobacteriia; Sphingobacteriales.
CGCCUUGCCAGCCCGCUCAGAAACUUACAGGAAUUGACGGGGCCCGCACAAGCGGAGGAGCAUGUGGUUUAAUUCGAUGAUACGCGAGGAACCUUACCUGGGCUCGAACGUAAGAUGACUGUAGGUGAAAGCUUACAUCUCUUCGGAGCAUUUUACGAGGUGCUGCAUGGUUGUCGUCAGCUCGUGCCGUGAGGUGUCGGGUUAAGUCCCAUAACGAGCGCAACCCCUACCUUUAGUUGCCAUCAGGUUAAGCUGGGGACUCUAAAGGAACUGCCUACGCAAGUAGUGAGGAAGGCGGGGAUGACGUCAAAUCAGCACGGCCCUUACGUCCAGGGCUACACACGUGCUACAAUGGCCGAUACAGAGGGCAGCUACCUGGUGACAGGAUGCAAACCUCCAAAGUCGGUCUCAGUUCGGAUCGGAGUCCGCAACCCGACUCCGUGAAGUUGGAUUCGCUAGUAAUCGCGCAUCAGCCAUGGCGCGGUGAAUACGUUCCCGGGCCUU